GUAGGUGGCAAGCGUUGUCCGGAAUUAUUGGGCGUAAAGCGCGCGCAGGCGGUUCUUUAAGUCUGAUGUGAAAGCCCACGGCUCAACCGUGGAGGGUCAUUGGAAACUGGAGAACUUGAGUACAGAAGAGGAAAGCGGAAUUCCACGUGUAGCGGUGAAAUGCGUAGAGAUGUGGAGGAACACCAGUGGCGAAGGCGGCUUUCUGGUCUGUAACUGACGCUGAGGCGCGAAAGCGUGGGGAGCAAACAGGAUUAGAUACCCUGGUAGUCCACGCCGUAAACGAUGAGUGCUAAGUGUAGGGGGUUUCCGCCCCCCUUAGUGCUGCAGCUAACGCAUUAAGCACUCCGCCUGGGAGUACGGCCGCAAGGCUG
Molecule: ribosomal RNA, 371 nt
Filed under: uncultured organism
Description: partial 16S ribosomal RNA
Rfam family: Bacterial small subunit ribosomal RNA
Source: RNAcentral